AGGGGCUCCAACGUAUUGGGAAGCUGGAAAGCUGGAAACCCCAGCGUUGCUGUUUUGCUGAGCCAGAGCACGCCGGCAGCUGAGAAACCACACUUCUCUUGUCUUUUCAGCCAAACCACGUUUGGUCCAUGCUGUCACUCCCACCUCCCGAUUAGAUGCCCGGAGUCCCUCUGCCACCUGCCACUCGGCGAGACCAGUCCAGCUGCCCUGACGUGGGAGGGAGAUGGGGAAGGCUGAGCUCUCCCAGCCCGGGAGGAGGUCACAGAGCAGAUGAGCGCCCCAGAGAUGAGCAGAAUCAACUGCCAGGAAGGGAAAGAGAGCUGCCUUUUCCAGAGAGCUGCAGGGUUGAGGAAGCAUCGUCGCUGGUCACUGUCCUUGUGUGGGAAGAUUUCAGGUAGAUUUCCAGCUAUUAAAAUGGAUCUCCACGUUACCUACCUACAGAACACAAGAAGAAAGGUAGGGGGCAGG
Molecule: long non-coding RNA, 468 nt
Filed under: Capra hircus (goat)
Lineage: Eukaryota; Metazoa; Chordata; Mammalia; Artiodactyla; Bovidae
Description: lncRNA (ENSCHIG00000001054.1)
Source: RNAcentral